CUAGAAUCUUCAAGUAGGUGAUGUAAAGGCCGAUGGCGCUGAUCCAACGUUUCUUUCAAAUCUGUGUCGUUCAUUGAUUUUUCUUUCGACAGUAUUCCAAUUUCGAUCUCAGCUGCAUCUUCUAGCAACCCUUGGGCAGGUCCCCCAACACACACGAACCAUCCCAAUGGCAGUGGCGAUGGCAAUGGCACACCCCUACAACGCACUCAGCCCACUGCAAUGAGCUCAACCCAAGUGACACACCCAUCUGCCAUUGACGCUGACACUUAUUGCCAGGGCUCUAUUUUUUUUCUUAUGUUUUUAAUUAUUUAAAAUUCUAAACUUAGAUUCAAUUAAUGUAGUAUCAAAUGUUUGUUUAAUGUAUUUUAGACUUAAAUGCAUCAGUUAGAAUUGAUUAAAUCUUUGGCUUGUAGAUGUUCAAAAUCUGGGUUAGGGAAUCAUUUCCAUGCGAUUUGAUGUGCUAUGAUGCAUAGCUAAAAAAUGAAGAAAUGUUGCACG
This is a long non-coding RNA of Humulus lupulus (European hop), 498 nucleotides long. RefSeq lists it as uncharacterized. Lineage: Eukaryota; Viridiplantae; Streptophyta; Magnoliopsida; Rosales; Cannabaceae. The transcript is spliced from 2 exons. The record is from RefSeq and is a predicted model, not a curated record.